Molecule: ribosomal RNA, 511 nt
Filed under: uncultured bacterium
Lineage: Bacteria
Description: partial 16S ribosomal RNA
Rfam family: Bacterial small subunit ribosomal RNA
Source: RNAcentral
GAUGAACGCUGGCGGCGUGCCUAAUACAUGCCAGUCGAACGAAACUUCUUUAUCACCGAGUGCUUGCACUCACCGAUAAAGAGUUGAGUGGCGAACGGGUGAGUAACACGUGGGCAACCUGCCCAAAAGAGGGGGAUAACACUUGGAAACAGGUGCUAAUACCGCAUAACCAUAGUUACCGCAUGGUAACUAUGUAAAAGGUGGCUAUACUACCGCUUUUGGAUGGGCCCGCGGCGCAUUAGCUAGUUGGUAGGUAAAGGCUUACCAAGGCAAUGAUGCGUAGCCGAAUUGAGAGGUUGAUCGGCCACAUUGGGACUGAGACACGGCCCAAACUCCUACGGGAGGCAGCAGUAGGGAAUCUUCCACAAUGGGCGAAAGCCUGAUGGAGCAACGCCGCGUGGGUGAAGAAGGUCUUCGGAUCGUAAAACCCUGUUGUUAGAGAAGAAAGUGCGUGAGAGUAACUGUUCACGUUUCGACGGUAUCUAACCAGAAAGCCACGGCUAACUACGUG